CAAAAGCGUAUAUUAAAGUUGUUGCGGUUAAAAAGCUCGUAGUUGGAUUUCUGUUGGGAACGACCGGUCCGCCCAUUGGGUGUGUAUCUGGCUUGUUCUCGGCAUCUUCUUGGUGAACGUUGCUGCACUUGACUGUGUGGAGCGCUACCCAGGACUUUUACUUUGAGGAAAUUAGAGUGUUUCAAGCAGGCAUAUGCCUUGAAUACAUUAGCAUGGAAUAAUAAGAUAGGACCUCGGUUCUAUUUUGUUGGUUUCUAGAGCUGAGGUAAUGAUUAAUAGGGAUAGUUGGGGGCAUUCGUAUUUAACUGUCAGAGGCGAAAUUCUUGGAUUUGUUAAAGACGGACUACUGCGAAAGCAUUUGCCAAGGAUGUUUUCAUUGA
RNAcentral lists this ribosomal RNA (380 nucleotides) under uncultured eukaryote. RNAcentral describes it as "partial 18S ribosomal RNA". It matches the Rfam family "Eukaryotic small subunit ribosomal RNA", at positions 592 to 976 of the family's 1831-position model. The record is from RNAcentral.